AAAAAGGCCGAGGCAAUGGCAACAGGGAUUGCUGAGUUACUAGGUGAAUCACUUGCAAAUGCUCGUUGGAAACCAGAGUCGAGGAAUGGGAAACAACAAAAAGUGGUAAAGAAAGACCAAGGAGAAACCAAGGAACAGCUUUGUCUCAACACCAGCAGCCACAGAAGAUUGCAGCAUGAUACUGCUGGUUUAGCGCUUCGUGUCCCAUAGACUA
This 214-nucleotide unclassified non-coding RNA is filed under the name Hevea brasiliensis (rubber tree). Lineage: Eukaryota; Viridiplantae; Streptophyta; Magnoliopsida; Malpighiales; Euphorbiaceae. The record is from RNAcentral.